UAGGGAAUCUUCCACAAUGGACGCAAGUCUGAUGGAGCAACGCCGCGUGAGUGAAGAAGGUUUUCGGACCGUAAAGCUCUGUUGUUGGUGAAGAAGGAUAGAGGUAGUAACUGGCCUUUAUUUGACGGUAAUCAACCAGAAAGUCACGGCUAACUACGUGCCAGCAGCCGCGGUAAUACGUAGGUGGCAAGCGUUGUCCGGAUUUAUUGGGCGUAAAGCGAGCGCAGGCGGAAGAAUAAGUCUGAUGUGAAAGCCCUCGGCUUAACCGAGGAAUUGCAUCGGAAACUGUUUUCUUGAGUGCAGAAGAGGAGAGUAGAACUCCAUGUGUAGCGGUGGAAUGCGUAGAUAUAUGGAAGAAUACCAGUGGCGAAGGCGGCUCUCUGGUCUGCAACUGACGCUGAGGCUCGAAAGCAUGGGUAGCGAACAGGAUUAGAUACCCUGGUAGUCCAUGCCGUAAACGAUGAGUGCUAAGUGUUGGGAGGCUUCCGCCUCUCAGUGCGCAGCUAACGCAUUAAGCACUCCGCCUGGGGGAGUACGACCGCAAGGUUGAA
RNAcentral lists this ribosomal RNA (551 nucleotides) under uncultured bacterium. RNAcentral's name for it is "partial 16S ribosomal RNA". It matches the Rfam family "Bacterial small subunit ribosomal RNA", at positions 355 to 898 of the family's 1533-position model. The record is from RNAcentral.